This is a non-coding RNA of Caenorhabditis elegans, 21 nucleotides long. NCBI's taxonomy places the organism in Eukaryota, Metazoa, Nematoda, Chromadorea, Rhabditida, Rhabditidae. The record is from Ensembl.
ACUGAUUCCAUUUGAUUGAAA